UCGCACGCAGGCGUGAAACCGCUCCCCACCCACACCACCACUCCGGCAUCCUAGUGGGCCGCGGGCGCGCCCCAGCCUCCUCGCUGGUGCUGCGCAAACAUGGUCCGCUGCUCCGACGAGGACGCAGCCACCUCCGGCUUCCUCGGCAACGGCCGGCCGCGAGCGCCGCCCUCGCUAUGCUGCCGCCUCCCACUCCAACAUCCCAGGUGGGUCGCGGACGCCGGCACGGUCCACCGCUCUGCCGAGGACAUGGCCGCCUACAGCCUCCCAGGCUGGGCGCCUCCCAACCCCGCCUGUUCACGCCUCCCCAUCGGUGGCGCGUGGGCCACGGUCCCCCGAGGACGCUGCCACCGGUAGCCUCUCCGGUAGGUGCUAGGCGCCACCCACUCCGGCAUCCCAGAGUUUUGAAAUGACAUGAACAAAGAACUUGGCCAAGAGAGUGGGAGGUCAUAGCAAACUCUGAACUUAAUAGGUCAGCCAUGUUUUCUUUGUACAUUUGCUUUUCUCUAUCAGCGAUGUGUUGGUUGAUGAGCAUAUGGAGAAAAACUUUGGCCAACUUUGAUUGUACACAAGUCAUAUCGCCAUUUAUUUAUUAUCCAAUUGUAUGUAGGCAAAUAUUUCCAAUCAAAUGAACAUUUUUGCCAAAAUGUACAAGUCAUAUCGCCAUUUAUUUAUUAUCCAAUUGUAUGUAGGCAAAUAUUUCCAAUCAAAUGAACAUUUUUUGCCAAAAUGCUCAUAAUCCUUAUGAGCAUUUGAAAAUUAUAUGACAUCAACCUAUUUUGUUCUUGUGAUAAACACAUCAAUCUAUGGGAUUGACGGAAUUAAGAUGGAGGGAAGAGUAACCCUUGCAGACUUGACAGUAACAUUUCUUCCAUAGGCAGUCUCAAAUUUGCAGUCUCCUUAGAUUGUGUCGGCUCAUGGGAUAGGCUCAAAGGUAAUGAACCAGGGUCCAUAUUUCCUGCAGUUGUGGCACUGCAGUGACCUUACUGCUGGGGAACGCUAGACUGUCAAAGACCAUGCAUCACCCUUUCUCCAUUGACUAGAUCGCCAUCUCGAGCAAAAUUCAGCCCUGACGACAGGUGCCGCUUGGAGCUGAACUUUGCCUCUGUACCAAAUCAGGCGUGCCAAGAUUGAUGAGUAGCUGACACCUUAUUUUGAUGCAUAUAGAAUGGAUAGAGGCAGUGGAGUUUAAGAAAACUAGACAUAUAUAUAUAUUUUUGUUUACAUUUCAGUUUUCCCAGUAAUAUGGGCUUGUACUCUUCAAUAUGUACAUUUUUCAAUAGAAUCAUAUUAUCACGUCAUGCGAACAAGUACUAUGUUUAUAACCUUCCUAUAAUUAAUGCAGCUUGCUAUGAUUAUUAAAUUUA
Panicum virgatum (switchgrass) is the source of this 1367-nucleotide long non-coding RNA. RefSeq lists it as uncharacterized. The record is from RefSeq and is a predicted model, not a curated record. NCBI's taxonomy places the organism in Eukaryota, Viridiplantae, Streptophyta, Magnoliopsida, Poales, Poaceae. The transcript has 4 exons.